ACCAUCAAAUGUGAAACCUCGAGCUCCACCUCGCUGCGGUCCUUUCGUCUGGACCGGCUCACGGGCUCACUGCGCACAGCCAGCGACGAGGACAUCAGGGACGCCCGCAACGCGACAGGCUCUCAGGACGGUCCCGGGGGCAACCCCAGCAACAGCAACAGCAGCCAGGACUCGCUGCAGAAAGCCCCAAAGAAGAAGGGCAUCAAGUCCUCCAUCGGUCGUUGGUUUGGCAAGAAGGAAAAGGGCCGGCCUGGACACACAAGCAAGGAGGCGUUAGGACCAGUGGCAGGCAGGAUGUUUACCGCUAGCGCCACCUGGAAAGCCCCAGGGAAUGCUGACAACUAGGAAAUGCAGAAAAUAAGGGGGCUGCUCCUAAGUUAAACUGGAAGAGCAGCAAGCACAGGAUGAAAAGAGGAAAACACACGAAGAGCAACAACAGUGCCGACAGAAACAAGCCGGGAUGUGUUCACCCACAAACAAAGUAUCUGUGCCAUUCGGAGGAGGAGCCCGCCAGCCCUUGGAGGGACAGUUGGAACCAGAAUGAAAACCGAGGCCAUGGUCAGCAGUGCCCACCCACACGGCCCGAGUGGCGUGGUGUCACUCACCGGCUUCCUGUGUCCCCAGAGCUGCUGGGGGUGACAUCUGAGUGCUGAGGCCAGGCAGCGUCCCCAGGUGAGCUAAGGCAUCCCUGCUCUCCUUCCAGUGCUGCUGUGGGGCUCUCUGUGGGCGGCCACCCUCAUCGCCUGCUCUGCCACCCGCUGGGGCCCGGCUGUGCCCCUGGGAUCCUUUCAGCCCUUGAACUUGGGUGUUCCCAGCCCUCUGCCACGUCGCACUGGGACGCAACUCAGGACUUGGGCUUGAGAUAUCAAGGAGACCGUGAAUCUGGAAGGACACAGCCCUGGAGCCCUGGAGUGAGCAUGUGAGAAGAGCAGGAGAGCAAAGCCCCCUCGGGGAGGCAGCAGAGCUGGGGAACGUGCCCACACCCACCGCUGCCUCUGGCACAAGUGCCUCUUCUUUGCCUCUCCUUGGCCUGAAACAGACCCCAGCUGCUGCUGCUCCGCAGGUGCUUCCUAAAGAUGCACAUCCUGCAAGAGCUAUUUUCCUGCUGCUCUGGGGCUGCCUAAGUGUGCUCAGGAUCGUCAGACAAGUGGGGCUGCCACCCCUGAUGCUGAGGGAGGGCCUGAUGCUGG
Capra hircus (goat) is the source of this 1190-nucleotide long non-coding RNA. RefSeq lists it as uncharacterized. Lineage: Eukaryota; Metazoa; Chordata; Mammalia; Artiodactyla; Bovidae. The transcript has 3 exons. The record is from RefSeq and is a predicted model, not a curated record.